Molecule: long non-coding RNA, 2158 nt
Organism: Cuculus canorus (common cuckoo)
Lineage: Eukaryota; Metazoa; Chordata; Aves; Cuculiformes; Cuculidae
Exons: 3
Source: RefSeq, a predicted model, not a curated record
UCUGAGAAGGUGAGGUGCUUGUCUGAAUUGGUGUCUCAGAGCGAAGUAUUACAAAGCAACUCAAGUGAGCCUAUGUGUUUUUUUGCUGAUGCCAAUCAGGCCAUCCUCUGGAACAGGAUGAGCGUCUGAGGUGCCCCAAGCAAUGGCAGCUGCAGGGCCUGAUGUUUGAGCCCGGAGCAGAUGUUGAAGAGGAACGCAGUGACAGCAGAAUUAUUCCAGUUAGCCAAAGUGAUUUCAGCUUUUUGGUGAAGGAGAGCUUUAGUCUCGGCCAUCUGAAAGCUAAGUGGAGGGACCGGGGCUGGGGCAGGAGAAGGUCAGGGAUGGCAGGCAGGUGUUUUUGAGGUAGCAUAGGGGAGAGGGCUGUGCAGGAAGAGCCGCAUUUGGGGCAGGUAAAGGCAGAGGGGCCUGCUUCUCAGCCCAGCGCUACCCUGUGCUGGGCAGGGCAGUUCCAGCCUGUGUUUGUCACUGUGUAGUUUUUGUAGUUCGUCUGCUGUGUCUUAACAUUUCUGCGGGUCUUGAUGUUCUCGUUGCACCAAAGGCCUGGCGGACGUGCCUUGGGUGCCAUCUCUAGGGUUCGAAUGCUCAUAGUUGUCGAUGCCGUUUCAUUUGGGCAGUGCUUUCCUCACAUCGCAAUACUAAAGCGUGGAUCGGUCUUGUGUUUUGGAAGCUGGCGGUCAGCUGUCUCUUUUGCUGCGGUCUUGCAGCCUGCGUCAGCAUCUGCGUUGGUUACUCAUCUAUUUUCUUGGAUGCCUGUUCUGGGACUUGUUCCGUGUGUCUUCUGCAUCUUUUGGUCUUAAAACGGGGCUUCCUGCCUGUGGCUGUUGUCAUGUAGCUUCUGUAGUCUGUGUGCCACAUCUUAAAUUUCUGUGGGUCUCGAUGUCCUCUUUGCGCUCAGGGCCUGCCGGAUGUGCCUUGGGCCCUAUGUCUAGGGUGUCGAAUGCUUGUACACAUCAAUGCAGUGUCGAUCGGGCACUGCUCUUCUUGCGUCGCAAUCCUAAAGUGAGGAUCGGUCUCGUGUUGUGGAAGUUUGCGGUCAGAUGUCUCUUUGGCUGCAGCCUUGCAGCCUGCGUUGGCAUCCGCGAUCGCUAGUUGUCCAUUUGUUUGGAUUCCUGUUCUGGGUCUUGUUCUGUUUCUGUGCGUCCUCUGCGUUUUAUAGGUCUUAAAAUGGGGCUUCCUGCCCGUGUCUGCUGUGUGGUCGUUUCUGUAGUUUGUGUGCCAAGUCUUAAAGUUUCUGCGGGUCUUGAUGUCCUCUUGGUGCUCAAGGCCUGCUGGACGUGCCUGGGGCAGCAUGUCUAGGGUCCCGAAUGCUUGUACUCAUCUAUGCAGUAUCGAUCGGGCACCGCUUUUCUUGCGUCGCAAUCCUAAAGCGAGAAUCGGUAUUGUGUUUCAGAAGUUUGUGGUCAGAUGUCUCUUUUUGCUGUGGCCUUGCAGCCUCUGUCGGCAUCCGCGAUCGGUAGUUGUGCUUUUUCUUGGAUCCCUGUUCUGGGACUGGUUCUGUGUGUCCUCUGUGUCUUUAGGUCUUAAAACAGGGCUUCCUGCUUGUUCAUGCUCCCACUUGCAGCCACAUCUCUUAGUAUCGAGCCACGGUUGUUCACUUUUCCAGGGCUGCCGUAGAUUCUUCCUCUUAGCCCUGUAUGUCGUCUUGCCCUGUGGGCAGGUCUUGCAGCCUCGGAGGGGGAAGGCUUUGUUCUGACAAAUGAUCUGAGAAGGUGAGGUGGCUGUCUGAAUUGGUGUCUCAGAGGGAAGCGUCAUAUAGCAACCUAGCUGAGCCUUUGUCUUUUUCGCCGCUGCCAAUCGGCCGCCUCUGGAACGGGAUGAGCGUCUGAGGUGAGGCCGGACCCUAGCGAGAAGGAAUGAGAGACUGUUGAUUUUUCUUGCAAGCACAAAAGUAAUUUUGUCUCUUGGAACUGUGGGUGCCUCAGGCAGCGGCAGGGGCUGAUACUUGAGCGAGCAAGGAGCAGGUGAGCAGAACACCUUGGCACUUUCGCAGUAGGUGUAGUGGUGCAGUCCAAGAUGAUGGCCCUGAGCGGUGUGGUGCUGACAGUUGGCUCCAUUUUCCUCUUUUUUUUUUUUUUUGUAGAUGGUGAAGAGGAACGCCGUGACUGCAGGAUUGUGCCAGUUGACUGAUGCGAUACGACCUGCUUUGGCCAUGGACAGC